CAGCGGCCACGGUAAGACAGAGGAUGCAAGCGUUAUCCGGAAUGAUUGGGCGUAAAGCGUCUGUAGGUGGCUUUUCAAGUCCGCCGUCAAAUCCCCGGGCUCAACCCUGGACAGGCAGUGGAAACUACCAAGCUGGAGUACGGUAGGGGCAGAGGGAAUUUCCGGUGUAGCGGUGAAAUGCGUAGAUAUCGGAAGGAACACCUGUGGCGAAAGCGGCUCACUGGACCAUUUCUGACGCUGAUGCACGAAAGCUAGGGGAGCAAACAGGAUUAGAUACCCCGGUAGUCCCUGUCUCUUAUAA
RNAcentral lists this ribosomal RNA (301 nucleotides) under uncultured bacterium. RNAcentral describes it as "partial 16S ribosomal RNA". It matches the Rfam family "Bacterial small subunit ribosomal RNA", at positions 509 to 809 of the family's 1533-position model. The record is from RNAcentral.